GUGCUGGGUCCCAGGUGCGGGUUGAAGGAGUUAUACUACGCGGCACCUCCUGGGUAAGUGAGUCCUGCGGUAGGCCCAGAGCCCGCAUCAAUGUUGCAGCGUCCUUGAGGUCAUGGAUACGGUGUGUGUCAGUCCAAUGUUGGACAAUGAGCAGUCGGUAAAGGUGGCAAAUGUAUCUGAUAUUCUGUCGUUGAAGCAGGAAGUCGAGUGGUCGAAGCGACCUGCGUU
This is a non-coding RNA of Pelobates cultripes (western spadefoot toad), 228 nucleotides long. The record is from the annotation of a GenBank genome assembly. NCBI's taxonomy places the organism in Eukaryota, Metazoa, Chordata, Amphibia, Anura, Pelobatidae.